RNAcentral lists this ribosomal RNA (446 nucleotides) under uncultured bacterium. RNAcentral's name for it is "bacterial SSU rRNA". It matches the Rfam family "Bacterial small subunit ribosomal RNA", at positions 329 to 792 of the family's 1533-position model. The record is from RNAcentral.
AGCCAGACUCCUACGGGAGGCAGCAGUGGGGGAUAUUGCACAAUGGGGGAAACCCUGAUGCAGCGACGCCGCGUGGGUGAAGAAGCGCCUCGGCGCGUAAAGCCCUGUCAGCAGGGAAGAAAAUGACGGUACCUGACUAAGAAGCCCCGGCUAACUACGUGCCAGCAGCCGCGGUAAUACGUAGGGGGCAAGCGUUAUCCGGAUUUACUGGGUGUAAAGGGAGCGUAGGCGGUUUAGCAAGUCAGAAGUGAAAGCCCGGGGCUCAACUCCGGGACUGCUUUUGAAACUGUUGAACUAGAUUGCAGGAGAGGUAAGUGGAAUUCCUAGUGUAGCGGUGAAAUGCGUAGAUAUUAGGAGGAACACCGGCGGCGAAGGCGGCCUGCUGGACCGCGACUGACGUUGAGGCUCGAAAGCGUGGGGAGCGAACAGGAUUAGAUACCCCAGUA